AUGCGUUUCAUCUUCUGGAACAUCCGAGGCUUCGGCCAUGCUGGGAGGCGGACCCAGUUGAAAGAAUUCAUACGUGAAGAGGGGAUCGACGUAGUUGGCUUGCAGGAAACCAUCAAGGCUGAUUUUUCUCAUCGGGACCUGCUAGCUGUCGACCCGCUCGAACGUUUUGCGUGGCAUUGGGUGCCGGCGGUGGGACACUCGGGGGGCCUGCUGCUUGGCAUUAACCAAGUUUGCUGCGAGGUGGUGUCUUGGGAUGCCGGUAGAUUCUUCUUGUCGGCACACGUGCGCCACCACGCGACCCUUCGUGCGUGGGAGGUUAUUGUGGUUUAUGGCCCGGCCGACCACUCACACUCGCAUGAGUUUUUGGGUGAACUACAGGAGAAGGUUGCGACCUUGGGUGUGCGUAACUUGGCACUACUAGUGGGUGGCGAUUUCAACUAA
Molecule: ribosomal RNA, 441 nt
Filed under: Triticum aestivum (bread wheat)
Lineage: Eukaryota; Viridiplantae; Streptophyta; Magnoliopsida; Poales; Poaceae
Description: partial small subunit ribosomal RNA
Source: RNAcentral